ACAGGCAGUGAUGACACACUUGCCCUCACUGAGAUCCAUUGGAGGGGUUGUUUUUGAGAACUUUCUCUAUGCUCAGU
RNAcentral lists this small nucleolar RNA (77 nucleotides) under Crocodylus porosus (Australian saltwater crocodile). RNAcentral describes it as "Small nucleolar RNA SNORD103/SNORD85 (ENSCPRG00005004382.1)". The record is from RNAcentral. Lineage: Eukaryota; Metazoa; Chordata; Crocodylia; Crocodylidae.